Molecule: RNA transcript, 3458 nt
Organism: Myiozetetes cayanensis
Lineage: Eukaryota; Metazoa; Chordata; Aves; Passeriformes; Tyrannidae
Gene: ASRGL1
Gene name: asparaginase and isoaspartyl peptidase 1
Exons: 9
Source: RefSeq, a predicted model, not a curated record
GACCGCCCCGGUACGGGCGGCAGCAGCCGCCAUCUUAACUGCGGGCAGGGCUCGGCGGUGCCAUGUCCCUUGAGGGCGGCUGUGGGACACGCUGUGGGAGCGCGCCCAGGGCGCUGCAGGAGGCCCUAAGCAGUAACAACAAGCUGUUGCCUGCCAGGCGUGAACGCCUUGUUUCCCUGCACGGAGUGCAAAGUUUUGCAAGAGGUCGGAGGUCUGGGAUCCGGCCGGUUGAGCUGGGUGUGCACAGCUAAAAGCCUUGGGAGGAACUUGGCAGGAUGAAGCCUGUCAUCGUGGUGCAUGGUGGAGCUGGACGGAUCUUCAAAGAGCGAGAAGAGGGAUGUCGUGCUGGCACUGCCAGAGCUGCGCUUCGAGGUUAUGGUGUCCUGAAACGUGGAGGAAGUGCCAUAGAUGCAGUUGAGGAGGCAGUACAGUCAAUGGAAGAUGAUCCUCAUUUUAAUGCAGGUUGUGGAUCUGUUCUAAAUGAAAAAGGUGAAGUAGAAAUGGAUGCCAUUAUAAUGGAUGGAAAAACUUUAGACUCUGGAGCCGUAUCUGCAGUUAAAUGCAUAGAAAACCCAAUAAAACUUGCUCGACUUGUUAUGGAAAAGACAAAGCACAUGCUGCUGACUGAUCAGGGUGCACACCUGUUUGCUCGGGCUAUGGGUAUUCCUGAGGUUCCAGGGGAGAAACUAAUAACAGAGAGAUCCCGUGAGAGGUGGAAGAAGAACCUUGAGCCGGAUUCCAACCCUGGAGAGUUUCAGAAAGACCUUGGAACAGUCGGUGCUGUUGCUAUAGACAGUGAAGGCAAUGUAGCUUGUGCAACAUCCACUGGAGGACUCUCUAAUAAACUGAUUGGCCGUGUUGGUGACACAGCAUGCAUAGGAAGUGGAGGUUAUGCUGACAACCAUUCUGGUGCCACUUCAACCACAGGACAUGGGGAGAGCAUUAUGAAAGUGGUCUUAGCCCGACUGAUCCUCUAUCACAUGGAGCAAGGAAUGUCACCAGAGGUGGCAGCGGACACUGCAUUAGACUACAUGAAGACACGAGUUGGGGGCCUGGGGGGUGUCAUUGUUGUCAACAAAGCAGGACAGUGGGCAGCAAGGUUCUCCACCAAGCAAAUGGCCUGGGCUACUGUAAAGGAUGAUGAGCUGCAUUAUGGGAUUUAUGCUGGGGAGGAGCAUGUAAAACCUCUUGGUGAUGCACUUGCAAGUGAGGGACUCUAAGCAUGAAGAAAUGUUGGCUGAGGAAGAAUGAAAAUCUCCAAUUUUCACUGGAGGACAAUGACAGUUGAUUUUGUCUUUCUGAAAGAUGUUGCAGAUGACUGCAUAUGGAAAGUGAUGGUUCAAGAGAAGAUGGCACAAUCAAAACAUAACCUUGGAGUACUCGUAUACAUUGUUCAACAGAAGAUCAUGAAGGAAAUGGCUGCUACCUCAUCAUCAAAUGUUCAUAAAACAGUAUCAGUAUUUCUGAUGUGCUUAUUAGUAGAAAGAAGUGGCCUUUCUUUGAGUAAAAAUUGAUUUAUUUCCCCAUCUGGGCAUAAGAUACCAAUCCUACAGGGCCAGGUUGUUCUUGGGGGGGUGGAAGGGCAGUAUUGGCAUAGCUUCAUUUCAAAAAUACAUCCAAAAUAUUUGUGAUAUUUACCUCACCUGUCUAUAGUGGAAGACCAAAUUCAGGAAACAGAAAAUAUGAUCUCCAUGCAUGCAGCCAAAAUUCACUUUGCAGCACUGUUUUCAUGGAUGUUUUCAAGGAUGCUUUGUAGAGCUAAAUGGUGAUACAGAGGCUUGAAUGUAAGCUGUACACAAGAAUACAAAUAUCUUGUCAUAUACCAGCUUUGUCAGCUUAGGUUCUCUAUGGAAGGCAUAUUCCCAGUAACAUUUCCUUUGCUUGAAGUAGCUGGGGGGAGGAGCAUUUAACCAGUACUGCUGUAACACCUGGCGUACCAUCUUUGUUGAGCUCUGUUUAUUUGUUGUGUUUUUUGAGUGGAUGUAAGCCUGUUCUGGUCACUCUCCAAGCUGACCAAAACCCAAGUGAUGGUUAGGGUAUCGUCAAGCAUAAGCUAAUACACCUGCUGGGUAGUUUGUUGGCGAGGGCUUGGCACUACACUAGCCCCAACAGUUGGCUUUUGGUUAGCUUUGAACGGGUUCACGUCAGCCAAAAAGGUACUGGCAACCACAGCAGCACUGCAGACAGGAUCUCAGGGAUGUCAGAAGGAGUAGUAAAUGUCUGCUGUGGUUAAUUCACCUCAUCUGUUCUCAGGAAUAUAAUGUAAUAAAUUUCUGGCACUUGACAAAGGGCAGUAUCCUCUAUAGGUUCUUCUGUUGCUCAUCACCAGACUAGCUGGGCACCUUCCAACAGUGCAUUAAGCAGUGUGACUACCAUCUGGUCUGUAUGAUUUGUUCUGUCUAACCUGCCCCUUGGUAGCAUGCUCUGUAUUCCUUUCUCAUGAAAAAGUCUGUUUUUCAAAAACAUGCAUGGGCUGUUAUGCCUUUCCAGUUCAUGUGGGUCUGGGAAUGAGGAACUGUGCCUUGCAUAUGAAUUGAUGACAUUUGAUAAUCCUUAGGCUGCAGUUUGCUCCUCAGUUCAAAUGACAUCAGCCCAGACAAAGCACUGGUACCAGCAUUCAGGGCUACAUGCUUUUCUUCCAGCUAGCUGACCAAAUCAAUGCUCCUCAGUAAAGGUAUGUGAUUUCCUCACCUAAUCUGGUAGACCUAGGACAGUGUUUCUCUUCCUCAUAAGGAGGAAUGAUAGCAAAUGGUCAGGGAUGGGGUAGACCUUAUUCUUGAAGAAGCUGGAGAGCUAGGGAUGAAAGAGUUUUUCUCUCUAUUGCUUUACCCUUUCAGUCAUGUUCUUUAGCUAGAACAGGAUGAGAUUUUGUUGCCAUGGUGUAAGAAGUUGCUGGUGUUGCACAGGACUGGCUAAUUUUUAAAUAUGCUUAUGUGUCCCCUGACCUUUGUGAAUACUGAGAAAUUACCCUUUCUAAGGGCUUUAACAUUUAACAGCUUUUAUAAAUGUAGUUGCAAGAUGCUGAACUUAAGGGAGAUACCAACAGCAGGACGGGAAGUUGUGUAUCCCUGCUGUGCACUGCUGCUGGAAAUGAGCCUCUAAUCCAAAUGGCUGUGACCUGGAUAUCAAAGAAGGAAAAUUAGAGGUCUGUUGCCAAGAAACUGGGUGUCCUUGGCAUCUAGCAAAGCAGCAACAGUUUUAAUUAUCUAAUUAAAGUGUGGCAUACUAUUAUUUUAUAUCAUUUAGAAAGCCAGUUGUGAAUGUUGUCCUGUUUCUUUCUCAGUACUCUGUAGAAAGGGUCCCUGACCUGCGCAGGUGGCCAGGAUGGGUAUACAUAUCAAAGCCAAGACAUUAACAAAACCAUCAGAGCGGUAAUCAUUGACUUUGUUCAUAUAUUGUUAGGUCUGUGUGGGUUUUACUUCUUAAUCUUUGCAAGUUACAAGUAAUUAAAAACUGUU